Molecule: ribosomal RNA, 378 nt
Filed under: uncultured eukaryote
Lineage: Eukaryota
Description: SSU rRNA
Rfam family: Eukaryotic small subunit ribosomal RNA
Source: RNAcentral
AGCUCCAAUAGCGUAUAUUAAAGUUGUUGUGGUUAAAAAGCUCGUAGUUGGAUCUCAACAGACUUGGAUCGGUUUACUUUGUGUAAUACUGAUCCAAAGCUGUGCUUUUGUCGGAGGUUUAGGGGUGCUCUUAACCGAGUGUCUCUGAGUGCCGACAGGUUUACUUUGAAAAAAUUAGGGUGCUUCAAGCGGGCUGUUAUGCUCGAAUAUUUGUGCAUGGAAUAAUAGAAUAGGAUGUUGAUCUUAUUUUGUUGGUUUUCGAGACUUGACAUAAUGAUUAAUAGGGACAGUCGGGGGUAUUUGUAUUCAAACGACAGAGGUGAAAUUCUUGGACCGUUUGAAGACAAACUACUGCGAAAGCAUUUACCAAGAAUGUUU